UACGAAGGGGGCUAGCGUUGCUCGGAAUCACUGGGCGUAAAGGGCGCGUAGGCGGCCAUUUAAGUCGGGGGUGAAAGCCUGUGGCUCAACCACAGAAUUGCCUUCGAUACUGGAUGUCUUGAGUUCGGUAGAGGUUGGUGGAACUGCGGGUGUAGAGGUGAAAUUCGUAGAUAUUCGCAAGGACACCGGUGGCGAAGGCGGCCAACUGGACCGACACUGACGCUGAGGCGCGAAAGCGUGGGGAGCAAACAGG
RNAcentral lists this ribosomal RNA (253 nucleotides) under uncultured bacterium. Its description in RNAcentral is "partial 16S ribosomal RNA". It matches the Rfam family "Bacterial small subunit ribosomal RNA", at positions 524 to 776 of the family's 1533-position model. The record is from RNAcentral.